AUCAGGUGUGUUGGAGCAGGGAAACAUCCAGAACAUGCAGGACAGUGGGCCUCGAGGACUGGAGAACCACUGCUUUAACACUCACUCCAUCUUAAUUGUGCAUCAAAACAGGCGUUAUCCUGAACAGCACCAAGAGCUGCUCAAAAGUCGGAGCAAAGCCCUGGAUCAUCUGAAACCUGUCUGCAGAUUCGAGUUUAAUACAGCAGCAACCAUCCAAAGGUGAACGAGUUCAAUGAGAAAAUCCCCCGACCUCCUUCUCAUCUUAGCCUGCCAGCACAGCGGAAGACACGGGCUAAUGAUGAUGUCCUUCAAUGGCACCAGUGUCAGAUCUAAUUUGGUGUUUUUUUGGAUCCCAUAUGAACACAUUCGCCUUUAGGCUGGGUCAGAAACGGGUUUUAAACACGUCUGCUUCGGUCAGAGCAAUCCUAUCAAGAGGCUCACUGAUUCACACAGGACAAACAUGGACACUCACUCCUGAUGCAUUAAGACUUCUAUUGGCUGAAGGUGGAUGAAGGCUGCUGUAGUGCGGUCAGGCGAUGAGCGGGAGAGACCUGAACGAAAGCACGACCAUCUUCUGGGAUCGAUAAAGUAUAGCAGCAAAAAAAAAACUGAUAUCAUGUAGGUUCCUGUACACA
This is a non-coding RNA of Xyrichtys novacula (pearly razorfish), 635 nucleotides long. Lineage: Eukaryota; Metazoa; Chordata; Actinopteri; Labriformes; Labridae. The record is from the annotation of a GenBank genome assembly.